AGCAGGAUGGGCUGGUCAGUGGGAUAGCCUCUGUGCACAUUUUGUGGCAAGUAGGAGUGACACAUCAUUCCUGGGAGGCCCCGUGGUUCCUGCCAAACCCAACCCCAGAAUUCUCCCUGAGGUGGUUUUACCAAACCCAUAACCCAGAACUGCUAUUGUGGUUUGGAGGUCAGCACCCACCAGUGCCAGGGCACUACUGGGAGGCUGGGACCUGACCAAAGCCCAUGGUGUCUGUGGCCUGAGGACAGGGUGUCUUGGGGCCAUGAGGACAGGCCACCAAUGGCCGUUGGGUCAUAGGGCCUGAGCCCCAGUGUUUGUCCUUCCCUGGCUCCUUCUGGUUCAGUCCCAUCAGGGCUCUGGAUCCCAAGACGCAGCAUCCAAGGUUCCCUCCAGGAAUCCUGGUGGCUCGGCUUACUUUGUCAUGUUUCAUCUGAUAGCAAAAAUAUCAGAUCGGCUGCACAGAAAAAUGGCUCAAAGUGCUUAAUGACCAGAAGAAAUCUGGGAGCAGCAAGAAGAGGUCUCAGGUGCUCUACAAGGGAGUCCCAUUUCAGGUGUGGGGCUGGGUAUGGUCACUCCUGCUGGAUGUCUAGAAGGUGAAAACCAAGGACCUAGGAAAAUACCAGAUACAGCCUUUCCACCGUCAUCCAGAGCAGGACAAACACGCCAGGUGGUGUCAGGAGCCCAGGUCUCCAGCUGGAGGGAAUGUCAACCCUGCAGUGGGAGCCCAUCAUGCAUCCUAGGCACAGAUGCUAACGUAGGCACCGCAGAAGCACUGCUGACUGUUUGGUGGUUGCUGUUAGGGCAGUGAGCCUUUUGUCCAUUCUGAGAUUGGGCUGGUUUCUCCUCUUGGCCCUGGCCUACAGACCAUAAAGGAAAACAGCAAGAGGUCCCCAGCAAACAUCUACAGAUGGCCCUGGACAUCAGCCACAUUCAGAGAAACGUGUCAUGUUCUGGGAGGGCUAAGGCAUCGAGAAUCCCAGUGAAUAUAUUGCCACCAUCUUGGAGCUCAGUGCCCUCAUAGUGUAACAGCACCAGCAGAUCUGCCUGUGCACAGACUUCCUGUACUACCUCACUCCUGAGGGGAGAUGCUUCUGCAGGGCCUGCGACCUGGUGCACAACUUUAGACACCAUCAUCCUGGAGCGGCACUGCACCCUCACUAGCCAGGGUGUUGAUGACUUCCUCAAUGCCAAGGCCACGUUCAAGAUUUUCGACUUCAGUGAUGCGUUUGUGCUGAGCAAGCCGUUUUGCACACCCUGGUCAGAAUGAAACAUUCCUUGGGAACUCGGGCCGUGAGAAGCAUCCUUCCUGAUCACCUGACUGUAGAAACAUCCUUAUCGCACCCUCCCGGGCAAAGGCCCAACAGCCUGACUGCAGGAACAUCCUUGCCAUAUCCUGCCGGGCAGCAAGCUCUACCGCCCACACCCCUCCUUCCCAGUCCCAUGAUCACCCCAGCCUGUGAGAGGCAGUUGGUGCUGGCAGUAAGCUGGUUUCCUCCUCUGCAGGGUUUUGCUAGUAAUAAAGGUGUUGCUGUUGAAGCCGUCA
Molecule: long non-coding RNA, 1543 nt
Filed under: Homo sapiens (human)
Lineage: Eukaryota; Metazoa; Chordata; Mammalia; Primates; Hominidae
Description: HSALNT0149693
Source: RNAcentral